CAGUCGUACGCUUCUUUUUCCCCGGAGCUUGCUCCACCGGAAAAAGAAGAGUGGCGAACGGGUGAGUAACACGUGGGUAACCUGCCCAUCAGAAGGGGAUAACACUUGGAAACAGGUGCUAAUACCGUAUAACAAUCGAAACCGCAUGGUUUUGAUUUGAAAGGCGCUUUCGGGUGUCGCUGAUGGAUGGACCCGCGGUGCAUUAGCUAGUUGGUGAGGUAACGGCUCACCAAGGCCACGAUGCAUAGCCGACCUGAGAGGGUGAUCGGCCACAUUGGGACUGAGACACGGCCCAAACUCCUACGGGAGGCAGCAGUAGGGAAUCUUCGGCAAUGGACGAAAGUCUGACCGAGCAACGCCGCGUGAGUGAAGAAGGUUUUCGGAUCGUAAAACUCUGUUGUUAGAGAAGAACAAGGAUGAGAGUAACUGUUCAUCCCUUGACGGUAUCUAACCAGAAAGCCACGGCUAACUACGUGCCAGCAGCCGCGGUAAUACGUAGGUGGCAAGCGUUGUCCGGAUUUAUUGGGCGUAAAGCGAGCGCAGGCGGUUUCUUAAGUCUGAUGUGAAAGCCCCCGGCUCAACCGGGGAGGGUCAUUGGAAACUGGGAGACUUGAGUGCAGAAGAGGAGAGUGGAAUUCCAUGUGUAGCGGUGAAAUGCGUAGAUAUAUGGAGGAACACCAGUGGCGAAGGCGGCUCUCUGGUCUGUAACUGACGCUGAGGCUCGAAAGCGUGGGGAGCAAACAGGAUUAGAUACCCUGGUAGUCCACGCCGUAAACGAUGAGUGCUAAGUGUUGGAGGGUUUCCGCCCUUCAGUGCUGCAGCUAACGCAUUAAGCACUCCGCCUGGGGAGUACGACCGCAAGGUUGAAACUCAAAGGAAUUGACGGGGGCCCGCACAAGCGGUGGAGCAUGUGGUUUAAUUCGAAGCAACGCGAAGAACCUUACCAGGUCUUGACAUCCUUUGACCACUCUAGAGAUAGAGCUUCCCCUUCGGGGGCAAAGUGACAGGUGGUGCAUGGUUGUCGUCAGCUCGUGUCGUGAGAUGUUGGGUUAAGUCCCGCAACGAGCGCAACCCUUAUUGUUAGUUGCCAUCAUUUAGUUGGGCACUCUAGCAAGACUGCCGGUGACAAACCGGAGGAAGGUGGGGAUGACGUCAAAUCAUCAUGCCCCUUAUGACCUGGGCUACACACGUGCUACAAUGGGAAGUACAACGAGUCGCGAAGUCGCGAGGCUAAGCUAAUCUCUUAAAGCUUCUCUCAGUUCGGAUUGUAGGCUGCAACUCGCCUACAUGAAGCCGGAAUCGCUAGUAAUCGCGGAUCAGCACGCCGCGGUGAAUACGUUCCCGGGCCUUGUACACACCGCCCGUCACACCACGAGAGUUUGUAACACCCGAAGUCGGUGAGGU
This 1404-nucleotide ribosomal RNA is filed under the name Enterococcus durans. RNAcentral's name for it is "bacterial SSU rRNA". It matches the Rfam family "Bacterial small subunit ribosomal RNA", at positions 59 to 1436 of the family's 1533-position model. Lineage: Bacteria; Bacillati; Bacillota; Bacilli; Lactobacillales; Enterococcaceae. The record is from RNAcentral.